CCUACGGGGAGCUGCAGUGGGGAAUAUUGGACAAUGGGGGCAACCCUGAUCCAGCCAUGCCGCGUGUGUGAAGAAGGCCCUCGGGUUGUAAAGCACUUUCAGUGAGGAAGAACGCCUGGUGGUUAAUACCCAUCAGGAAAGACAUCACUCACAGAAGAAGCACCGGCUAACUCCGUGCCAGCAGCCGCGGUAAUACGGAGGGUGCGAGCGUUAAUCGGAAUUACUGGGCGUAAAGCGCGCGUAGGUGGCUUGAUAAGCCGGUUGUGAAAGCCCCGGGCUCAACCUGGGAACGGCAUCCGGAACUGUCAAGCUAGAGUGCAGGAGAGGAAGGUAGAAUUCCCGGUGUAGCGGUGAAAUGCGUAGAGAUCGGGAGGAAUACCAGUGGCGAAGGCGGCCUUCUGGACUGACACUGACACUGAGGUGCGAAAGCGUGGGUAGCAAACAGGAUUAGAUACCCUGGUAGUC
This 465-nucleotide ribosomal RNA is filed under the name Vreelandella stevensii. RNAcentral's name for it is "partial 16S ribosomal RNA". It matches the Rfam family "Bacterial small subunit ribosomal RNA", at positions 338 to 795 of the family's 1533-position model. The record is from RNAcentral. Lineage: Bacteria; Pseudomonadati; Pseudomonadota; Gammaproteobacteria; Oceanospirillales; Halomonadaceae.